UAUAUCAGUUACAAAAUGCAUUGAUUUGAAUCAGACGUACUUUCUGAGUUGCUCCAAAUAGACAAUGCAAAGCCAUAUCUUUCAGAUUGCAAAUUAUCUCUUUAAAAUGCAGUUCUGCUGUUCUCCUGAGUUUGUGUGUAUUUACAGGUCUGAACACAUGGAAUGGUUACAUGUCUCACAUCACAUUUUAAAUUUAAUGUGUAUUUAAUAUUACAUCCUAAAAUUCUCAUGUUGCCUAAGUUCUGAAGAACCUUAUAAGCCAUGAAAAUCAGAAAUAUCCUAAAAUGCAUAUGUAUUUCAUGGCAUUCCAUUUGUUAACCAGAUGAGUGAACUGGUCCUCUGACCCUUUUCAGUCAUGACAUGGACUCUGAGAGCAGCAUGCAUGCAAUUCAUAUACUAUAAUGCAUAUUUUGCAUUAUAAGAAUAACAUAAAAAUAGAAUUGUAACAGUUGUAAUGUACCAUUAAUACAGUGGUUGAAGAAACUUAGUGUUUGUAAAAUGCUAACAGUUAAGAAAAUUAUGCAGCAGGUAAAAUUCACUAAUAUUUAUACAAUAUUUACAAAUGGGUGAAGAUCCACAGUUCAGUGUACAGAACAUGCAGCUAAUAUAACAGAUGUCAGAUAAGGAUAGCUAGUUAAAUUGUAGCCAGUCUCACAAAAGCAAAUACAAAUGGCUUCCUUUUGCAGAUGUUCUUUUAAUGCAGUUUUGAAACUUCCACAAGUUUGUUGAUUGUUUUACAUAAUUUGAAGUGUGUUCCAGGUGUGAAGGCUCAUUCUACAGAAGGAUCUUUCUCCUAUCACUGCUUCGAAAACAGAAUGAACUAGGUCCACCAAAACCGUGUCUGAGAAUUCUGUAGUAGAAAUGAAGAUGGGCGGAUAUUAAUCAGUGGAGUCAUGCAGCUCCCCCUCCAUUUGGACCAUCCAUAUUCUUUUGGUGUCUGGUGAUUAAUCUGUUAAUGAAAAAAAAUACAGUACAGCACACUUGUUUUCCAAGUUUCCCACUUCUACCCAGAAAUGAAUAUCUGCAUCACAAAGUAAGACUUUCCUGGUCUGGGGUUUUUGUUUGGGCAGAAGCGCUUCCUAGAUAAUAUAAAAUUAGUUCCUUCAACAUGUCAUCAUUACACCACAAUGCAUACUCUGUAAAACAUGGUGCUUAAUAUAGCAACUGCAAUGUGUUUUUUUCUUAAACAUUUGUAUCAUUACAUUGUUUUUAUGUUGAUGUAAAUAAAAUUCAGAUGUAGCAUA
Long non-coding RNA from Protopterus annectens (West African lungfish), 1244 nucleotides. RefSeq lists it as uncharacterized. The record is from RefSeq and is a predicted model, not a curated record. NCBI's taxonomy places the organism in Eukaryota, Metazoa, Chordata, Ceratodontiformes, Protopteridae. The transcript is spliced from 3 exons.